RNAcentral lists this ribosomal RNA (232 nucleotides) under uncultured bacterium. RNAcentral describes it as "partial 16S ribosomal RNA". It matches the Rfam family "Bacterial small subunit ribosomal RNA", at positions 94 to 334 of the family's 1533-position model. The record is from RNAcentral.
AGCCGCGAACGGGUGAGUAACACGUGGGUUACCUGCCUUGAUGACCGGGACAACCCGAGGAAACUCGGGCUAAUACCGGAUGUGCCCGCAAGGGGAAAGGAAGCUUCGGCCUCCGCAUCAAGAUGGGCCCGCGGCCCAUUAGCUUGUUGGUGAGGUAACGGCUCACCAAGGCUUCGAUGGGUAGCUGGUCUGAGAGGACGAUCAGCCACACUGGGACUGAGACACGGCCCAG